CAUCGAAGCUUGCAGAGGCAGGGAACCAUAUAAACUGCCUACUUGGGCAGGCCCUGACCAUUCCUGCUCCCAGCUGCUUUCUCUCUAUUUCUCUCAGCCUCGGACAACUCCCUGCUUUGCUGGCCAGCCACUGUCUUAGACAUUUAUGUGCCUCUGGGCACUGGAGGAACCUGAACACCACCGAGCAUGAGGCAGAAAGUCCUGUGAGAGCUUCAGUGUUGUGUGCUCAGCUGAGUGACAUCAAAAGCCCCCUUGCAUGUUGUGCCCUUGAAAGUGUUAUCCCUAGAAAAACUGGGCACAGCUAAUGUGGUGCUUUUGAGACCUGGUAACAGGCCAUGAUGACAUGAGCAUCCUUGAAAUUCUACCCGAGGUGCGGGUGAGGAGGUGGAUAUUUUUAUUUACUGGCGGCCUGUGACCUGAUCCUGUGAAAGAAUGUUCACUAAUAGGCCUGAUAUGAGUGGGAUUACUGUCACUGCUCAGUAAAGAGUGAGCCCACCAGCAGAAUAAACAUUGGCAGGAUCAAGUA
Passer domesticus (house sparrow) is the source of this 526-nucleotide long non-coding RNA. RefSeq lists it as uncharacterized. The record is from RefSeq and is a predicted model, not a curated record. The transcript has 2 exons. Lineage: Eukaryota; Metazoa; Chordata; Aves; Passeriformes; Passeridae.